CAGGAAAUAGUUUAAAGAAAAUAUUAACUUUGGGAGUUAAAGACGAAGAAUUUUUCUUUUUUUCUGA
Molecule: transfer RNA, 67 nt
Filed under: Pseudohelice subquadrata
Lineage: Eukaryota; Metazoa; Arthropoda; Malacostraca; Decapoda; Varunidae
Description: tRNA-Pro
Rfam family: tRNA
About the family: Transfer RNA (tRNA) molecules are approximately 80 nucleotides in length. Their secondary structure includes four short double-helical elements and three loops (D, anti-codon, and T loops). Further hydrogen bonds mediate the characteristic L-shaped molecular structure. tRNAs have two regions of fundamental functional importance: the anti-codon, which is responsible for specific mRNA codon recognition, and the 3' end, to which the tRNAs corresponding amino acid is attached (by aminoacyl-tRNA synthetases). tRNAs cope with the degeneracy of the genetic code in two manners: having more than one tRNA (with a specific anti-codon) for a particular amino acid; and 'wobble' base-pairing, i.e. permitting non-standard base-pairing at the 3rd anti-codon position.
Source: RNAcentral